AUUACUGGGCGUAAGGGCGUCUAGGCGGUCGGUCAAGUCAGUCGUGAAAGUCCUUGGCUAAACUGAGGAAAGUCGACCGAUACUGAUCGACUAGAGGGACGUAGAGGUAAGCGGAACUCUCGGAGUAGCGGUGAAAUGCGUAGAGACCGAGAGGUACCCCGAUGGUGAAGACAGCUUACUGGGCGUCUCCUGACGCUGAAGCGCUAAGGCCAGGGGAGCGAAGGGGAUUAGAUACCCCCGUAGUCCUGGCUUCAAACUAUGUGGGCUUGGUGUCGGCUCCCGAUAGAGAGUCGUUGCCGGAGCUAACGUGUUAAGCCCACCGCCUGGGGAUUACGUCCGCAAGGAUGAAACUCAAGGGAAUUGACGGGGGCCUACACAACCGGUGGAGCACGUGGUUUAAUUCGAUGAUAAGCGAAGAACCUUACCAGGGCUUGACCUAGCGGUAGUAGAACCCUGAAAGGGGAACGACCUCAAGCUUUGCUUGAGGAGCCGUGGCAGGUAUUGCAUGGCUGUCGUCAGCUCGUGUCGUGGGACGUUGGGUUAAGUCCCGUAGCGAGCGUAACCCCUGCCCUUAAUUGCCAGCGGGUAAUGCCGGGGACUAUAAGGGGACUGCCGGAGAAUAUCCGGAGGAAGGAGGGGAUGACGUCAAGUCAUUAUGAUCCUUAUGCUCUGGGCGACACACGUGCUACAAUGGUCACUACAAUGAGGAGCGAGCCUGCAAGGGUCAGCAAAUCUCAAAAAGUGACCUCAGUGCGGAUUGGGGUCUGCAACCCGACCCCAUGAGAUGGAAUCGGUAGUAAUCGCGGGUCAGCCACACGCGUGAUAUGUACUGGGCUUGUAC
RNAcentral lists this ribosomal RNA (841 nucleotides) under uncultured KB1 group bacterium. RNAcentral describes it as "bacterial SSU rRNA". It matches the Rfam family "Bacterial small subunit ribosomal RNA", at positions 550 to 1386 of the family's 1533-position model. Lineage: Bacteria; Candidatus Calescibacteriota. The record is from RNAcentral.